GAACGUUAGGUAAAAUCAUAAUGCAGCCCAAAUUCCGACAAGCAACCGCCCCGCUGAACUGCGAAAAAACAUUCUCUGCGAUGGCCCGAUUCUUUUGGAACCGGUUCCUCAGCCCCCAGCCCCCCGGGGCCAUCAGGAUCGGGCCUAUUCGCA
This 153-nucleotide non-coding RNA is filed under the name Nitrobacter winogradskyi Nb-255. Its description in RNAcentral is "Bradyrhizobiaceae sRNA BjrC174". It matches the Rfam family "Bradyrhizobiaceae sRNA BjrC174", at positions 8 to 159 of the family's 201-position model. The record is from Rfam by way of RNAcentral. Lineage: Bacteria; Pseudomonadati; Pseudomonadota; Alphaproteobacteria; Hyphomicrobiales; Nitrobacteraceae.